GAGCAAUCCCUGAGUAGAGUGGCAAACGGGUGAGUAACACGUGGGUGACCUGCCUCAGAGUGGGGGAUAACGUCCCGAAAGGGAUGCUAAUACCGCAUAACAUCCUGCCUUUGGAAAGGCGGAGAUCAAAGCCGGGGAUCGCAAGACCUGGCGCUUGGAGAGGGGCCCGCGUCUGAUUAGCUAGUUGGUAAGGUAAUGGCCUACCAAGGCGACGAUCAGUAUCCGGCCUGAGAGGGCGGACGGACACACUGGGACUGAGACACGGCCCAGACUCCUACGGGAGGCAGCAGUGGGGAAUUGUUCGCAAUGGGCGCAAGCCUGACGACGCAACGCCGCGUGGAGGAUGAAGAUCUUCGGGUCGUAAACUCCUGUCGAGCGGGACGAACACCUGCCGGGCUAACAUCCAGGCAGGCUGACGGUACCGCUAAAGGAAGCCCCGGCUAACUCCGUGCCAGCAGCCGCGGUAAUACGGGGGGGGCAAGCGUUGUUCGGAAUUACUGGGCGUAAAGGGCUCGUAGGCGGCCAACUAAGUCGGACGUGAAAUCCCCAGGCUCAACCUGGGAACUGCGUCCGAUACUGGAUGGCUUGAAUCCGGGAGAG
RNAcentral lists this ribosomal RNA (600 nucleotides) under uncultured bacterium. Its description in RNAcentral is "bacterial SSU rRNA". It matches the Rfam family "Bacterial small subunit ribosomal RNA", at positions 77 to 656 of the family's 1533-position model. The record is from RNAcentral.